This is a small nucleolar RNA of Ctenocephalides felis (cat flea), 89 nucleotides long. RefSeq annotates it as small nucleolar RNA snR60/Z15/Z230/Z193/J17. The transcript has a single exon. Lineage: Eukaryota; Metazoa; Arthropoda; Insecta; Siphonaptera; Pulicidae. The record is from RefSeq and is a predicted model, not a curated record.
UCCAGUCUUUUAUGAUGAAAUUAUAGUUCAAUUGACUUUACUGUGAUAUCUAACUAGCAAUUGUCUUUCGCUCCUAUCUGAAUAUUUUU